UAAGGAAUCUUCCGCAAUGGACGCAAGUCUGACGGAGCAACGCCGCGUGAGUGAAGAAGGAUUUCGGUUCGUAAAACUCUGUUGUUAGAGAAGAACAGCGCAUAGAGUAACUGUUAUGCGUGUGACGGUAUCUAACCAGAAAGCCACGGCUAACUACGUGCCAGCAGCCGCGGUAAUACGUAGGUUGCAAGCGUUGUCCGGAUUUAUUGGGCGUAAAGCGAGCGCAGGCGGUCAAUUAAGUCUGAUGUGAAAGCCCCCGGCUCAACCGGGGAGGGUCAUUGGAAACUGGUUGACUUGAGUGCAGAAGAGGGGAGUGGAAUUCCAUGUGUAGCGGUGAAAUGCGUAGAUAUAUGGAGGAACACCAGUGGCGAAGGCGACUCUCUGGUCUGUAACUGACGCUGAGGCUCGAAAGCGUGGGUAGCAAACAGG
This 429-nucleotide ribosomal RNA is filed under the name Bacteroidota bacterium. RNAcentral's name for it is "Bacteroidetes bacterium partial 16S ribosomal RNA". It matches the Rfam family "Bacterial small subunit ribosomal RNA", at positions 355 to 776 of the family's 1533-position model. Lineage: Bacteria; Pseudomonadati; Bacteroidota. The record is from RNAcentral.